Molecule: ribosomal RNA, 274 nt
Filed under: uncultured bacterium
Lineage: Bacteria
Description: partial 16S ribosomal RNA
Rfam family: Bacterial small subunit ribosomal RNA
Source: RNAcentral
AUACGGAGGGUGCAAGCGUUGUCCGGAUUUAUUGGGUUUAAAGGGUGUGUAGGCGGUGUAUUAAGUCAGUGGUGAUAGCCUGCGGCUCAACCGUAGAACUGCCAUUGAUACUGACACACUUGAGUAUGGACGAGGUAGGCGGAAUUUAUGGUGUAGCGGUGAAAUGCAUAGAUACCAUAAAGAACACCGAUAGCGAAGGCAGCUUACUAGGCCAUAACUGACGCUGAGGCACGAAAGCGUGGGGAGCGAACAGGAUUAGAAACCCCAGUAGUCC